CUUCCACGAGGAUUGCUACCAACGGUCAAAGAUAGUUCGCUGCAGGAUAAAGAGCUCAAACGUGUGGAAACUCCGUCCUCAUUUUCAGUAAAAGAUUUUGUGGUGUAUAAGAAUGAACAAUGAACGUGCCUUGCCUUGUGGACUAAACUGUGCACGGUGGGAUAACAAGGCCACUCUCCUAUUUCAUCCAGCAAACUUUCCCUCUUUCUCUUACCUCACAUCGGGCAACGGAUACACGGACCUGAAACGCGAUAAGAUAGAAUACAAGGAGAGUGCAGCUUCGGUGACAGCUGUGCAAGUGCUGUGUGACGGCCGCUAAACCAGCACCAAGGGAACAAAACAAGCACUGUAAGCCCUCACCACAACCCUCCAUACUGCCUAGUCAUCAUCUAUUAAAGGUUGACGUGUAGAUAUAAGCAAUAGAAGGAAGAAGAAGAAGAAGAAGAAGAAGAAGAAGAAGAAGAAGAAGAAACGGAGGAACACGACGAAGAAGAAAUGAGAAAUGAAGGUGGAAUAGAAGCAGCAGCCAAGGUGUAAUAUUUAGACCUGCAGACGACCCCCGCACGGAAGAGCAACGACUUGUGUGCCUCAGACCGUCAGUUCUCCUACUGCAGUGUCAAUGGGAUCCCGAAGCAGCGCAUGUGUGACGGCUUCAGUGACUGCAGUAACGGAGAGGAUCAGUUUGUGCAGGUGUGUGGCGAGUGCCGGGAUCAGAAUGUCGGGUGUGAGCGACUGUGCAUGAAUACUCGAGUCAUUCUACCGCCAGUGGCUGCCAGGAUACAGACUCAUCAGGAAGUUCAACUGUGAAUGUGAGGCUUGCCUUGACUGUCACUGUCACUCUGCGGUCUUCCUUCUUAAACUUCUCAGCCCUUCACUUCUACAUUUAGCAGCAGCCUAAAGAAAUGUUGACGAGUGUGUGGAGUCGUCCAGAUCGUCUCCCUGAGGGACAAUCUCCUCAACAGUGUUCGAUCCGCCCAGCAGCAGCAACGGUCAGGACAAGACGGCCACUGAAGUGUCAAGCCCCGAAGCUGGCAUGGUGCUGGGUGUUGUGCUGGGCUCCUUGGGGUUCUUUGCCUUGCUGUUGGGAUGUUAGUCGGGUUCCUGAACAUGCGUCGUCGUGUUAUCAUCCACGCAAGUUUCCCCAACCCAGCCAGUGUACCACAAAACAGUCACUGAGGAGGACGGGAGCGAGCUACUGCAUGCACCAUUGAACAGGACGGCAUUAUAUUCGUCCCACAGGAAUAUGAUUGAAGCGAAGCAAGCCCAAAAUAAAGUGUUGAGUGACCAUGAUGAUUCAGGACUACUAACACCAAAGAAGUGAGGAAAGUGUUUGCAGUGAGCGUGAAAGACAUACAACAGACGUGAGACUGUAAAUGCCGGUGUAGCCAAACGAACAAGAGGAGCAAGAGGAGGAGGAGGAUGAAGAGGGUGAUUCUUGGAGACCUACCAAUGAUGUUCUUAAGGUUGGCCACGAAUCUUCAUCACUGGUGUAGUGUGUUUCAUAGACCAAUUGUAGAUUGGGUGGAUAAAUUUUUAGAUAUUGUAAACAGCUCUAGAUGUGUAGUGGGUAAGGUUUUUUGCAAUGUUUUGUGUACACCAGCAGAAAACAGUGAUAUGUAGAAGUUGUGCAUAGCAUUGUGAUAGAAAUGUACAGUGUUCAUGUGUAUACAGUAUUAUAUAUAAUAUUUAAGAGAGAAGUGUAGACCAAGAGAGGAAAAUAACCUUGGGACACGAGUCCUAUGCUCAUUACUCAUCAUUCCUGUCACCCAUCAUGAUCGAUUAUGCCUUAAGGACCAAAUGACUAACGUGUUCAGUACAUGCUGGAAUUCACCAUGGAGAAACACGUACUGAAGGUAACGUUCCUUGUUGAGAGACGCCAUCUAUGUAACGGACUGUAGCGAGCAUGCUGGCUAGUCACACAUCAACCAUGCGUCGCGGUGGAUGACACGAUGCGUCUUGCUGCCAAGCCAUGACAGUAAAUUAGUACCAAGUAGUAGUAGUUAAGGGUAGUAGUAGUAGUGGAGUUUUCUCACCCUAUUGCAAGGUGUGAUGUCGACUUGGCUCUGUCUUUAGUGAUCACAAGAACCUGUUCCUUCUUGUGUCUCGAAGAUAGACCACAAAAGUGUCUUUUUUAUUUUUUCUGGGAAGAUGAAGUUUUACGAGUCUUUCAUUGCAUUACUUAAUUUAAGUUUGUGGCCAAUGUCUUAUCACGUGAUGCAGUUUUUGUUACUUAUAUUUAUCUUAUGUCUAUUGAUAUGACGAUAUCUUGUGAAUGAUAUUCCUAUAUAUUUCUAAUGGCAACACAAUAUCUCUUGAUAUAAUA
This 2323-nucleotide long non-coding RNA is filed under the name Portunus trituberculatus (swimming crab). RNAcentral describes it as "uncharacterized LOC123506763, transcript variant X2". The record is from RNAcentral. Lineage: Eukaryota; Metazoa; Arthropoda; Malacostraca; Decapoda; Portunidae.